Venturia canescens is the source of this 1078-nucleotide long non-coding RNA. RefSeq lists it as uncharacterized. The record is from RefSeq and is a predicted model, not a curated record. NCBI's taxonomy places the organism in Eukaryota, Metazoa, Arthropoda, Insecta, Hymenoptera, Ichneumonidae. The transcript has 3 exons.
GGAUAAUCGAAUAAUAAUCGAUCCCGAUCAACGCCACAUAUGCGAGGAUUGGAUCGACCAUCGAGAAUUAAGAAAAAUAAACGAUAAGCAUGAAGAAUAAACACGUUCGAACUUACAUCGCUUGCGGAGAGACCCUUCGAGAGUGAGAGGUCUUCAGUUUGACCGAGGGGAUAUCGAGCCAAAGUAAAGAAGAUUUCGGAAGAUUUUCGUUGGGAGACGAGAUUUCAUUAUUCUCGUUUUUCUCGUCGAGAUUAUUCGCUCUUCGUGAACUCUCUACUUCAAAUCUUGAAAAAAAUUUAUUGCGGUCAAGAGACAACUAAACCUCUCCAAGCAGGAUGGAAGGGGAGGAGGAACAGGAUCAAAGUUAUGUUAAUUCAUUAAUAACGACCUUACGCGGAUCUCGCGGUUUCGAAAUUGCGUAUAUAUAUGCAUAGACGUGAAUAAAUAUAUAAAUCAACAAAUAUUCAUGUAUAUACGCCCGAACGAUUCGUUAUUUUCAAUUACUGUUUUGCCAGCUCCCACUAUUAUCAUGGGGUUGGCAAUUUUUUCAACGUUUCCCGCGCCCGACUUCCGGCUACUAUUCGUUUCUUUAAAAAUUCGAAAAAAGAACACUAUGAUAGUCGAAAAAAAUGAAUAUUUUCCUUACAGGACAAAAAUAAAUCUGCAAUUCAAAUAAGUUUUUCUUAAAAUAAAAGUUAUCGGUCGCGAAAAUUGGACGAAGAUUCUAAAUCAGCAAUUUGCCUUUGUGACAUUAAAAAAUUUGAAUCAUUUCAUAAAAAAAAAAGGAAGUUAAAUUUCCCAAGGUGAUUUUUUUCUAUCCACAAAAAAUUGAUAUUCUCGAAAACGGAACUCGAUUUAGCCCCGCCGUCCUUAUUUGCAGCCGAAAGUCGUGCUUGCCCCACAAUAUUUCGUGAUUUCUACGCGUGUCAAAUAAGAGAAAAAAAGGUAUUGAAGUUUGCAGGAUUCGAAGACGACGAAAUUUUCGUUAUGAUUGUCUCUAUCGAUUGUUUUCCCAAAGAACAAUAAUCAUGUACAAAAUUGAAAAAGCAAUCUUAAGUAUUCACGUUCACAGAUCUAA